This 434-nucleotide ribosomal RNA is filed under the name uncultured Lachnospiraceae bacterium. RNAcentral describes it as "partial 16S ribosomal RNA". It matches the Rfam family "Bacterial small subunit ribosomal RNA", at positions 341 to 792 of the family's 1533-position model. The record is from RNAcentral. Lineage: Bacteria; Bacillati; Bacillota; Clostridia; Lachnospirales; Lachnospiraceae.
ACGGAAGGCAGCAGUAGGGAAUAUUGGACAAUGGGGGAAACCCUGAUCUAGCGACGCCGCGUGAGUGAAGAAAUAUUUCGGUAUGUAAAGCUCUAUCAGCAGGGAAGAAAAUGACGGUACCUGACUAAGAAGCACCGGCUAAAUACGUGCCAGCAGCCGCGGUAAUACGUAUGGUGCAAGCGUUAUUCGGAUUUACUGGGUGUAAAGGGAGCGUAGACGGCAUGGCAAGUCUGAAGUGAAAUGCGGGGGCUCAACUCCUGAACUGCUUUGGAAACUGUCGAACUAGAGUGCAGGAGAGGUAAGUGGAAUUCCUAGUGUAGCGGUGAAAUGCGUAGAUAUUAGGAGGAACACCAGUGGCGAAGGCGGCUUACUGGACUGUAACUGACGUUGAGGCUCGAAAGCGUGGGGAGCAAACAGGAUUAGAUACCCUGGUA